AUACGUAGGGUGCAAGCGUUAAUCGGAAUUACUGGGCGUAAAGCGUGCGCAGGCGGUUUUGUAAGACAGAGGUGAAAUCCCCGGGCUCAACCUGGGAACUGCCAUCGUGACUGCAAGGCUGGAGUGCGGCAGAGGGGGAUGGAAUUCCGCGGGUAGCAGUGAAAUGCGUAGAUAUGCGGAGGAACACCGAUGGCGAAGGCAAUCCCCUGGGCCUGCACUGACGCUCAUGCACGAAAGCGUGGGGAGCAAACAGGAUUAGAUACCCUGGUAGUCCACGCCCUAAACGAUGUCAACUGGUUGUUGGGGAUUUAUUUUCUCAGUAACGAAGCUAACGCGUGAAGUUGACCGCCUGGGGAGUACGGCCGCAAGGUUAAAACUCAAAUGAAUUGACGGGG
This 395-nucleotide ribosomal RNA is filed under the name uncultured bacterium. RNAcentral's name for it is "partial 16S ribosomal RNA". It matches the Rfam family "Bacterial small subunit ribosomal RNA", at positions 523 to 918 of the family's 1533-position model. The record is from RNAcentral.